RNAcentral lists this ribosomal RNA (305 nucleotides) under uncultured bacterium. RNAcentral describes it as "partial 16S ribosomal RNA". It matches the Rfam family "Bacterial small subunit ribosomal RNA", at positions 506 to 807 of the family's 1533-position model. The record is from RNAcentral.
ACAGCAGCAGCCACGGUAAUUCGAAGGGGGCUGGCGUUGUUCGGAUUUACUGGGCGUAAAGGGCGCGUAGGCGGACGGAUAAGUCAGGGGUGAAAUCCCAAGGCUCAACCUUGGAACUGCCUUUGAUACUGUUUGUCUUGAGUUCGAGAGAGGUAAGUGGAACUGCGAGUGUAGAGGUGAAAUUCGUAGAUAUUCGCAAGAACACCAGUGGCGAAGGCGGCUUACUGGCUCGAAACUGACGCUGAGGCGCGAAAGCGUGGGGAGCAAACAGGAUUAGAUACCCCGGUAGUCCCUGUCUCUUAUAC